AGAUUCGCCGGGCUAAAUAUGGACUUCUAACCUAUAUAGGGGGGUUCAACUCCUCCGUAAUCUU
RNAcentral lists this transfer RNA (64 nucleotides) under Pithemera bicincta. RNAcentral's name for it is "tRNA-Ser1". Lineage: Eukaryota; Metazoa; Annelida; Clitellata; Crassiclitellata; Megascolecidae. The record is from RNAcentral.